UACGGAGGAUCCAAGCGUUAUCCGGAUUCCUUGGGUUUAAAGGGUGCUUAGGCGGAAUGAUAAGUCAGUGGUGAAAUCCUGCAGCUUAACUGCAGAACUGCCAUUGAUACUGUCAAUCUUGAGUACAUUUGAUGUGGGCGGAAUGUGUCAUGUAGCGGUGAAAUGCUUAGAUAUGACACAGAACACCGAUUGCGAAGGCAGCUCACAAAACUGUAACUGACGCUGAGGCACGAAAGCGUGGGUAUCAAACAGG
This 253-nucleotide ribosomal RNA is filed under the name uncultured bacterium. RNAcentral's name for it is "partial 16S ribosomal RNA". It matches the Rfam family "Bacterial small subunit ribosomal RNA", at positions 524 to 776 of the family's 1533-position model. The record is from RNAcentral.